CAUGUAGGGUUUAAAGCCAUUG
This 22-nucleotide microRNA is filed under the name Salmo salar (Atlantic salmon). RNAcentral's name for it is "ssa-miR-135b-1-3p". Its record names the gene ssa-miR-135b-1-3p. Lineage: Eukaryota; Metazoa; Chordata; Actinopteri; Salmoniformes; Salmonidae. The record is from miRBase by way of RNAcentral.